Molecule: non-coding RNA, 104 nt
Organism: Citrus sinensis (sweet orange)
Lineage: Eukaryota; Viridiplantae; Streptophyta; Magnoliopsida; Sapindales; Rutaceae
Source: Rfam
GUACCAUGAUGUGGACACUUUAAGAGUAGCCUAUUGAAUCGCUCUCAUGCUUCACAGAACAGCUCAUCUUGUCUCUGAGUAAACUCUAAGAUUUCCCUGAAAAU